Molecule: ribosomal RNA, 250 nt
Filed under: uncultured prokaryote
Description: partial 16S rRNA
Rfam family: Bacterial small subunit ribosomal RNA
Source: RNAcentral
ACGGAGGGGGCGAGCGUUGUCCGAAAUUAUUGGGCGUAAAGCGCGUGUAGGCGGGUGCUUAAGCCUGUGGUGAAAGGGCGGAGCUCAACUCCAAGAGGGGAUGGAAACUGGGAUUCUUGAGUAUCGGAGAGGAAAGCGGAAUUCCCCGUGUAGCGGUGGAAUGCGUAGAUAUCAGGAGGAACACCCGUGGCGAAGGCGGCUCUCUGGGCGAGUCCUGACGCUGAGACGCGAAAGCGUGGGGAGCGAACGG